CUACGGGACGCACCAGUCGAGAAUCUUUUGCAAUGCCCGAAAGGGUGACAAUGCGACGCCGCGUGAGCGAUGAAGGCCUUCGGGUUGUAAAGCUCUUUCAGCAGGGAUGAAUGCAGGACAGUUAACAGCCGUUCUGUUUGACGGUACCUGCAGAAGAAGCCACGGCUAACUCCGUGCCAGCAGCCGCGGUAAUACGGAGGUGGCAAGCGUUGUUCGGAUUUACUGGGUGUAAAGGAUGUGUAGGCGUCUUUUUAAGUCGGAUGUGAAAUCCCAUGGCUCAACCAUGGAACUGCAUUCGAUACUGGAAGGAUUGAGUACGAGAGAGGUAAGCGGAAUUCCAGAAGUAAGGGUGAAAUCUGUAGAUAUCUGGAAGAACACCAUUAGCGAAGGCGGCUUACUGGCUCGAUACUGACGCUGAGAUAUGAAAGCUUGGGGAGCGAACAGGAUUAGAUACCCUUGUAGUC
RNAcentral lists this ribosomal RNA (464 nucleotides) under uncultured bacterium. RNAcentral's name for it is "partial 16S ribosomal RNA". It matches the Rfam family "Bacterial small subunit ribosomal RNA", at positions 339 to 795 of the family's 1533-position model. The record is from RNAcentral.